RNAcentral lists this long non-coding RNA (3062 nucleotides) under Podarcis lilfordi (Lilford's wall lizard). The record is from RNAcentral. Lineage: Eukaryota; Metazoa; Chordata; Lepidosauria; Squamata; Lacertidae.
GAGAAGAAAUUAAGAGUGAAUCCAAAGUCACAGCCAACUCUGAGAGAAAUUAAACUGUAUCAAACACAAUAUUCUAAAUUGAUAAAUCAGGAAAUUGAAUGGAAGAUUAAAUUAAUGAAACAAAAAACGUUUGAGUCGGCGAAUAAAUGUGGAAAACUGCUAUCUUGGCAGUUGAAGAGAAGACAAAGAUUAAAUACGGUUACAAAUUUAGAGGUCGAUGGAAGAAACAUUCAGAAUCCAGUGGACAUUAGAAAGUGUUUCCAGAGAUAUUUUAAAAACUAUAUACCCAAGGGCCGCAAGACGAAGUCGAGAUUAAACAAUUUUUGGCAAAAAUGGAUUAUCUAAACUGUCACAAGAAAAUAGGACAAUCCUGAACUCUAAAAUAACACGACAGGAGAUUGAACAAGCUAUUCAGAACAUGCAACUUGGCAAAUCUCCAGGGCCAGACGGGCUGACCUCCAAGUAUUAUAAGACACUAAAAGACUAUUUGAUACAACCCUUGAUGGAGGUUAGCAAUGAAAUUAUGGAGGGGAAGAGGGCACCGGAUUCGUGGAAGGAAGCGUUUAUCACAUUGAUACCAAAGUCAGAAGCUGAAAAGACACAACUGAAGAACUACCGUCCCAUCUCCCUUUUAAAUGUGGAUUACAAAAUAUUUGCAGAUAUUUUGGCAAGUAGAUUUAAAAAGUUUUAAAUGAAGUAAUUCAUAAGGACCAGGCCGGUUUUCUCCCAGGUAGACAUCUGUUUGCUAACACAAGGAACAUUAUUGAUAUCUUGGAACUUCUCCAAACUGACAUAAAUACAAAAGCAGUUUUAAUUUUUAUAGAUGCGGAGAAGGCCUUUGAUAAUAUUUCUUGGAAAUUUAUGAUGGGAAACUUAAAAGAGAUGGGAGUGGGACGGGGUUUUGAGAAUGGGAUUGAGGCGAUAUAUUCAGAACAGAAAGCUAAACUGAUAGUGAACAAUGUGGUUACAGAAGAGUUCAAAAUUGAAAAAGGGACACGACAAGGCUGCCCUAUUUCCCCUUUGUUAUUUAUUUCGGUUCUGGAAGUGCUAUUGAACAUGAUUAGAGGGGACCAGUUGGUGGAAGGAAUUCAGGUUGGUCAGAAACAAUAUAAACUAAAAGCUUUUGCAGAUGACCUGGUUUUGACCUUGCAGAAGCCAGAGCCUAGUACGAAAAGAGUAUUACAAUUGAUUAAUGAUUUUGGUCGGGUGGCGGGAUUUAAAUUAAAUAAACAGAAAACCAAGGUUUUGGGAAAAAACUUGACUGAGACAGAGUCAGAACGGUUUCAGAAUGAGACGGAACUUAAUGUGGUUAAAAAAGUAAAAUACCUAGGGGUAAACAUAACAGCAAAAAAUCUAAGUCUAUUUAAGGAUAACUAUGAAAAAUGUUGGACAGAAAUUAAGAGAGACUUAGACAGUUGGUCAAAAUUGAAACUUUCUUUGUUAGGCCGAAUUGCUGCGAUUAAGAUGAAUGUAUUGCCAAGAAUGUUGUUUUUAUUUCAAACACUUCAGGUUUUGGACAAAAUGGAGUGCUUUCAGAAGUGGCAGAGAGACAUUUCGAAGUUUGUCUGGCAGGGCAAAAAGCCCAGAAUUAAGUUUAAGAUACUAACUGAUGCAAAACAAAGAGGGGCUUUGCCCUGCCGGACUUAAAGUUGUAUUACGAAGCCGCAGCGUUCUGCUGGCUAAAAGAUUGGCUACUUCUUGAAGACACUGAUGUGUUAGAUUUGGAAGGGUUUAACAAUGUUUUUGGAUGGCAUGCAUAUUUAUGGUAUGACAAAGUUAAAGCAAAUAAGGCCUUUAAGAACCAUAUUGUUAGAAAAUCACUGUUUAAUGUCUGGACAAAAUAUAAAGACUUGCUGGAAAAUAAAACACCAAGGUGGCUUUCACCUUUGGAAGCUAAGGCCCGAAAAAGACCCAAUAUGGAGGCCAAAUGGCCAAAAUAUUGGGAAAUACUAGAAAAAGAUGGAGACAAUUGGAAAUUGCAGAGUUUGGAGAAAAUGAAAGACAAAGUGCGAGAUUGGUUACAUUAUGCUCAGAUUAAAGAAGUUUUUAAAAAUGACAAGAAACUAGGGUUCCAGGUGGAGAAAUCGAAACUAGAAACAGAAUUGUUAGAACCAAAGACUAAGAUACUUUCAAGGAUGUAUAACUUGCUGUUGGAAUGGAAUACACAAGAUGAAAUGGUUAAAUCGGCUAUGAUAAGGUGGGCACAGGAUAUUGGGCAUAAUAUUAUGUUUGAGGACUGGGAAAGGCUGUGGAGUAAUGGAUUGAAAUUUACUGCAUGUAAUGCUUUGAAAGAAAAUGUAAUGAAAAUGAUUUAUAGAUGGUAUAUGACCCCAGUCAAACUUGCAAAAAUUUACCACCUGUCUGAUAACAAGUGUUGGAAAUGUAAAGAGUGUGAAGGAACGUUCUUUCACCUCUGGUGGACCUGCCCUAAAGUGAAGGCGUUCUGGGAAAUGAUUUAUAAUGAAUUGAAAAAGGUAUUUAAAUAUACUUUCACUAAGAAACCAGAGGCUUUCCUUUUGGGUAUUGUCAGCCAAGGGGUGGCAAAGAAGGACCAAACAUUUUUAUGUAUGCAACAACAGCAGCAAGGAUACUACUCGCAAAACAUUGGAAAACUCAAGAUCUACCCACACUGGAAGAAUGGCAGAUGCAACUGAUAGACUAUAUGCAACUGGCUGAAAUGACUGGCAGAAUCCGUGACCUGGGAGAAGAGAGAAUCGAGGAGGAUUGGAAGAAAUUUAAGAACUACCUACAAAAACAUUGUGAUUUGACUGAAUGCUGAAUAAGAUGCUUGACUAAAUAACUGAGCACCACUUAACCUAGAAGUUUUUAAGAAAAUAAGAAAAACUGUGAAAGUUUAACUCUUUAUGAGAACUAUAAGAUCAUGAAAUAUCGAAGAGAUAUAAGAAUUUAAAUAAGAUGAUAAAUUGCUGACAAAAUGUUAUAAUGAUGAAGGUGGGAGCGGGAGAUGUGAGGAAGUCCAAAGAAAAUGUGAAAUUAUGUUAAGACGAAUGUUAUAUUGUUUAUUACAUUUAUUCCUAUUGUAAAAUCCAAUAAAUUGCUUU